GACGAACGCUGGCGGCGUGCUUAACACAUGCAAGUCGAACGGAAAGGCCCUGCUUUUGUGGGGUGCUCGAGUGGCGAACGGGUGAGUAACACGUGAGUAACCUGCCCUUGACUUUGGGAUAACGUCAGGAAACUGGGGCUAAUACCGGAUAGGAGCUCCUGCUGCAUGGUGGGGGUUGGAAAGUUUCGGCGGUUGGGGAUGGACUCGCGGCUGAUCAGCUUGUUGGUGGGGUAGUGGCUUACCAAGGCUUUGACGGGUAGCCGGCCUGAGAGGGUGACCGGCCACAUUGGGACUGAGAUACGGCCCAGACUCCUACGGGAGGCAGCAGUGGGGAAUAUUGCACAAUGGGCGGAAGCCUGAUGCAGCAACGCCGCGUGCGGGAUGACGGCCUUCGGGUUGUAAACCGCUUUCGCCUGUGACGAAGCGUGAGUGACGGUAAUGGGUAAAGAAGCACCGGCUAACUACGUG
This 468-nucleotide ribosomal RNA is filed under the name uncultured bacterium. Its description in RNAcentral is "partial 16S ribosomal RNA". It matches the Rfam family "Bacterial small subunit ribosomal RNA", at positions 28 to 507 of the family's 1533-position model. The record is from RNAcentral.